Triticum aestivum (bread wheat) is the source of this 135-nucleotide non-coding RNA. The record is from Rfam. NCBI's taxonomy places the organism in Eukaryota, Viridiplantae, Streptophyta, Magnoliopsida, Poales, Poaceae.
UAGCUACUCCCUCCGUCCGAAAACACUUGUUAUCAAAAUAAAUAAAAAAAGAUGUAUUUUGACGUAUUUUACUUUUAGAUACAUCUUUUUCUAUCCAUUUUGAUGAUAAUUAUUUCCGGACGGAGGAAGUAGUUA